CCUAGAUGCUGGCUCAAGACUGACUAGCUCGUCAACACGUGUAAGGACAAGUGGACAACUAAUUUUUCAAGAUUCUACAACCUUUUCAAAAAGGUAAUAAUUGCUUCUACCUUUUUCAAAACAAUUAUUACACAUUACUUAUUCUUUUAUUUUCCUUUUCUUUAUCAUCAUAUCUAUUGCCAUCAAAACUGACUGUUGUAUCUAGAGGUGUACCCGAGUCAAACUGAGUCGAGCUUGGCAUUGCUCGACUCGGUCCUCGAGCCUAACUGGCCAGCUCGGCUUGAUUCGAUCAGCAGCUCGGGCCAGUUCGAGCCGAGUUCGAGCCAAGAUCGAGCUUCUGCGACAUUUUCUCAAACACAUGGAGUGCACCUUCAAUUUCUCACAGAAUGUAAAGCAGCAACAUCGGUUUACAGGUAUUUCAUCAAACGCUCAGUAGGCAACAUAAAAAUCAAGAUACACAGGUAUUUAUUUCAUAUCCAUACCUUCGUCGCCACCAGCUGACACUUCGUUGAGUCAUUUCAUCAAACACUUGUUGAGCAACAUCAAUAUCAAAAUAACCGAGUCACCGAACUAGUUUGAUCCGAGUUCGAUUUGAGUUGGGGUUCGAUCCUAGUCGAGUCGAGCUCGGGCAAGCUUGAACUCGGCUCGAAAUUUUUUCGAGCUAAAAAAAUCAGCUCGACUCGGCUCGAACUCAGUUUUGAACCAAGUUGAAUCAAGUUUUUUCAAGUUGAAUUGAGCGAGCUAACCGAGCUAACUCGGUUCUUGUACAGCUCUAGUUGUAUCAUUGUAUGGUGGAGAUCAUCGCAGAAAGGCAUCAUUUUGGAAUUUUCUACCAUGCUAAAAACCUCUAUCAACAAAGCUUGAAGGAGAGUUUACCUUAUUGCUGUGAAAGAAGAAGUGGAAAGGAGAUGUGUGGAAUGAGCAACAAAAAAACAAAAAGAAAAAAGGAAAAAAAAAGAAGGGAAGAUGUAAUAAAUACAUUAAAUACAUCAGGAAUCAUCUUUACUUCGAAAAGGUAUAUAUUAGGAACUUUUAAAAAGGGUGUAGCUUUUUUGGAAAGUGAGUUGUCCACUUGUCCUUAGAUUGUUGUGAUGAGCUAGGCAUUUUCAACCUCGAGCCCACAUUUAGGCCCAAUAAUUGAACCCACCUGAUACCCAAGCCCACAUGCAGCCCAUAGUCAAGUCAGGGUUGAUGCCUAAGCCCGCAUGAGUCCCAUAGUUUGAGUCAGGGUUGACGCCCAAGCUUGUAGUUGAGUCAAGCCUGGCGUAGGCCACAUUAACUAAGGCCCAAACCUAACCAAUAUAAGAUCAGGUUUGAGCUUUUAAACCUACCUUUAGGCGAACAUUCUGAUAAGACCCAUUUGUAGGCCUAUCUUACAUACGGAUCUUCCACAGGCCAUUUCUUCAUCAUUCGGACAGAUUUUUUAUGCAUCAGAACAUGCGGGAUCAUCUGAUCAAUGUGCAUGUAAUGGGAGUGGAUUAAGAAAUUGGAUGAUAUCAUUAUCAACACAAAUUGUCAAGCCACUUGGAGCUCGCCAAUGGUAAAAAGGGCAUUUUUCCACCAAUACAAUUGCCCAUUCAUCAAACAUGACAAGAAGGGCUGGUGGGUUCACACAGGAGCUAAUCGGCACAUUGCUAACUCAAAAGACCUGUUUGAGACCCUUGUGGAAUUCAAAGCUGGAGAAAAUCAAAUUUAAAUGGAAACGAACACCCACUCUUAACAUAUUAGGUGUGGGAACCUGGAGAUUGAAAUGCAAAAAACUGGACGUUGUGCUAACUGAUGUAUUCUAUGCUGCUACUAUAAGACUUUGUAUUUGUCUCGCUUCUGGUUCACAAAGGCUUUGAUGUUUAUUUCCAAUCAUUGAAAUUAUCCAUGGAGGAGCAUGGUCAUGUUGUUAACCGGGGCCAUCUAACUCAUGGUGAAAACUUAUUAAUGCUGGAUGUUAUGGCUUCUAUUGCUCACAUUAAUUCCUCUGGUAUUUAGUUAAUUCUUGUUUCCUUGCUGAUGCAUAUACAUGGCACCUUAGGUUAUGGCAUUGUAAAAAAUAAAAUGGAAAGGCUA
Magnolia sinica is the source of this 2061-nucleotide long non-coding RNA. RefSeq lists it as uncharacterized. The record is from RefSeq and is a predicted model, not a curated record. Lineage: Eukaryota; Viridiplantae; Streptophyta; Magnoliopsida; Magnoliales; Magnoliaceae. The transcript is spliced from 2 exons.